GCGCCUGUAGCUCAACUGGAUAGAGCAUUAGUCUUCGGAACUAGGGGUUGGGGGUUCGAUUCCCUUCGGGCGCG
Molecule: transfer RNA, 74 nt
Filed under: Candidatus Omnitrophota bacterium
Lineage: Bacteria; Pseudomonadati; Candidatus Omnitrophota
Description: Candidatus Omnitrophica bacterium (sediment metagenome) tRNA-Arg
Rfam family: tRNA
About the family: Transfer RNA (tRNA) molecules are approximately 80 nucleotides in length. Their secondary structure includes four short double-helical elements and three loops (D, anti-codon, and T loops). Further hydrogen bonds mediate the characteristic L-shaped molecular structure. tRNAs have two regions of fundamental functional importance: the anti-codon, which is responsible for specific mRNA codon recognition, and the 3' end, to which the tRNAs corresponding amino acid is attached (by aminoacyl-tRNA synthetases). tRNAs cope with the degeneracy of the genetic code in two manners: having more than one tRNA (with a specific anti-codon) for a particular amino acid; and 'wobble' base-pairing, i.e. permitting non-standard base-pairing at the 3rd anti-codon position.
Source: RNAcentral